RNAcentral lists this long non-coding RNA (2514 nucleotides) under Equus asinus (donkey). RNAcentral's name for it is "lncRNA (ENSEASG00005030222.1, ENSEASG00020006880.1)". The record is from RNAcentral. Lineage: Eukaryota; Metazoa; Chordata; Mammalia; Perissodactyla; Equidae.
CACAGGAAGAGAUUAAGCUGUAAUUCAGAGGAUAACUAGACUGAAAUUACUCUGGGCGUCUCUGCCUGUGCACUGGAGAAGGACUUUGGGACUGAGGCAAGAAGGCUGCAGUGGAAACAAGGAGGCUUAGAGACAGCUAAAUGGAUGCAGAGUCUGAGGCAGAAUCUGACGGAAGGACGACAGUGAGGAAGGGAAGUAAAGGACGACAAAUGAUUAAAGGCAAGAGAGAAGGGAUUCAUUCAGCUGGAUGAGGCAGGUGUGUGUAAAAGUGAGUGAGGGCCUCAGGCUUCGACCAAGGAACCGACUUUUAGUGUAAUGGUUUCAAGCUGUGCUACUGUAAAUCCCAGAUGAAAAAGAACAAUAGAGUGUUUGUGCCAGGACAGAAAUAUUGGAGAGGGAGCAGCACUCCCUAGUGGCCAGCAUGGUGUUGGCGGAGCCGAUGAGCGAGAGUUGAAGGGAAGAGAAGAUGAAAUCUGAACGCCUACCGUGCGUUAACAGGGCCACCUGCCCGUUUGCAAGUGAAGCAUCUUCAUCCACCGCUUCCUGCAUCUUGGGGAAUGCAAAGUUGAUGUUUUGAAGGAAGAUGGUGUGUUUGUUGCUGCCUUCAACUUCAAUUUUGUAACUGCCCCAUAAUCUUAUGCUCAUAACCUGAAAUUUUAACUCUACAAUGUUAAGAAAUUUCUUUGCCCAGGAAACAACGUGGUCUGACAACAGAGGUUUCUGAUGAGCUGACAGUACAGAGGAGUGGAUUCGUGGCUUCCAUAGAUUCCAUGUUUUCCAUUUCAGCCAUUGGUGAGAGACUUCUGAAGACUGGCGGCUUCUGACAACCUGCUCUUUUCUUGAGACACAAAUGUGAUGUGCGUGAUUGGCCAACAUCAGAGUUUCCUUGUGGUUUUAUGGUUUUAUUUGAUAUUCGCUAUCAAGUAGGCAGUCAUCUCAGCAAGAUUCUACAGAGGUCACAUCAAGUUUAAAAUUUCAAAUCUAUUGCCAACUGUGGAAAAAUCAUAUGCUGUAGAAGUACUCACAAAUUGGGCCAGAUGCAUGUUUAACUCCAUGAAGAAUACUAGCCUUUCCUGCAGAGGUUUGGAAGCAGUGAGAAAGUGAUGUGGGUUGUGGCCCAUCCUUGUAGGUCCAGUUUCUCCUCCUUCUUCCACUUCACAUCCAUCUUCCCUUUUUGACUGCUUUAUCUGCAAACUUCAGGCUCCAGCACCAGACAAAAAAGCAUCAGCCUCCCACACUGUUUAACCAGCUGCCACAAUUUGUAAAGUCAAAUUCCUAUAGUCGACUCCUUAUUCUAUAUAUAUACACACACAUACACACAUGUAUUUACAUUUAUAUAAAUAUAAAAUAUAUUUAUAUUCAAAAUUUUAUAUAUAGAUAUGUAUUUACAUAUACAUAUAUAGUUGAUUUUUCUUCUAGUGGCUCUUCUUCUCUAAUGGAGCCCUAACUGACUGUGUCUUUGCAGCUCUUCACCUUGAAUCUGGGCUGGCCUUGUGACUUGCUUUGCUUAAUAGAAUGUGACAGAAGUGACAGGGCCCAGCUCUGAGCCUAGGCCUCAAGAAGCCUUGCACGUUUUCUCUCUUGGAACCCUGUAACCACUGUGUGAACAAUCCCUGGCUAGCCUGUUGGAAGAUGAGAGAAUACUACAUGGAGGAGAGUCAAGUCAUCCCAGACAAGGCCAUUCUUGACUAGCCAUAACCAGCUGUCCCACCAAAAUAUGAGUGAUCCCAGCCAUGACCAGCAAAGCUGCCUACCCCACCCCCGGCUGACCACAGAUGAUAAGUGAGCCCAGCUGAGAGCAGACCCACCAGCUGACCUAUGAUCUUCUGACCAGUAAUAAAUGCAUAUUAUUUAAGCCACAAGUUUUAAGGUGUUUUUUUCCCACAAUAGUGGCUAACUGAUGCAUCUAGCAUAUUAAUUUUUCCUUCUUUUAUUGUGAAAUAUAAAAUACAUACAGAAAAGUACAUAAAACAUAAGUUUAACAUGCAAUUAUAAAGUGAAAAUACGUGUAAUCACCCCCUAGGUCAAGAAAAAGGGCGUUGCCAGCACAGAAGCAGCCCCCACCCUCCCCACCUGUGUGGCUUCUCGCUUGUUCCCUGAUCCUUCCCCACUAUCCUGACUUUUGAGAUAAUCAUUCCCUUGCUUAUUUUGAUAGCUUCACCAUGUAUUAGGGAAAACAGUAUCACUUAGUUUGCCUGUUGUCAGCCUUUAUAUUCUAUGUGAUUUCUUUUUUGCCUAGCUUAUUUUGCAUUGUUUAUAAGAUUCAACUAUGUUGUCCUGUGUAGCUGUGAUCUGUUCAUUUUCAUUGCUAUGUAUUGUCCUAUUUUAUAUUUUAUAUGUAUAUUUAUGAAUAUACCCAGGUUUAUGGAUAUUUGGGGUAUUUCUGGUUUGGGACUAUUCCUAGACUUUGCCUUUAAGUUUUCUUGUCUAUGUAUCCUGGUAUACUUGGGCACGAGUUUCUCUAAAGCAGUGGUUCUCAAAUUUUUGAUUCCAGAAUCUUAAAAAGUAAAAAUU